UAGGUGAACCUGCGGAGGGAUCAUUACACAAAUAUGAAGGCGGGCUGGAACCUCUCGGGGUUACAGCCUUGCUGAAUUAUUCACCCUUGUCUUUUGCGUACUUCUUGUUUCCUUGGUGGGUUCGCCCACCACUAGGACAAACAUAAACCUUUUGUAAUUGCAAUCAGCGUCAGUAACAAAUUAAUAAUUACAACUUUCAACAACGGAUCUCUUGGUUCUGGCAUCGAUGAAGAACGCAGCGAAAUGCGAUAAGUAGUGUGAAUUGCAGAAUUCAGUGAAUCAUCGAAUCUUUGAACGCACAUUGCGCCCUUUGGUAUUCCAAAGGGCAUGCCUGUUCGAGCGUCAUUUGUACCCUCAAGCUUUGCUUGGUGUUGGGCGUCUUGUCUCUAGCUUUGCUGGAGACUCGCCUUAAAGUAAUUGGCAGCCGGCCUACUGGUUUCGGAGCGCAGCACAAGUCGCACUCUCUAUCAGCAAAGGUCUAGCAUCCAUUAAGCCUUUUUUUCAACUUUUGACCUCGGAUCAGGUAGGGAUACCCGCUGAACUUAAGCAUAUCAAUAAGCGGAGGAAAAGAAACCAAC
RNAcentral lists this ribosomal RNA (578 nucleotides) under Alternaria sp. BAB-4028. Its description in RNAcentral is "eukaryotic LSU rRNA". The stretch from base 192 to 345 matches the Rfam family "5.8S ribosomal RNA". The record is from RNAcentral. Lineage: Eukaryota; Fungi; Ascomycota; Dothideomycetes; Pleosporales; Pleosporaceae.